GUGGAGUCUCCAUCACUGGAGGUUUUCAAGAUGUGGCUGGACAGAGUGACAGAUCUGAUUCUUUCUCACUACUUUCAAUUCAGUGGAUACAGAGUUGGCUGGAUGGGAAGACACAAAAUAAGGGAAAAUAAUCCUGAUUGUUACAGCCACUGGUUUUGUGGGGGUGAAGAUGAAGGCAGAGCUUUUGUAGUUUAUAUUCUAAGUGAAGUCCAAAGCCACUGUAGACACAGCUGAUACUCUUCAGUGGACAUGUUUAUUGAAACUUUCAGGCAAAAUACCUCAAUCACCUGCCCUGCCAACCAUGAACUGUGUUUUCCUGGAGUUUUCAUUUUUCUCUGGAUUGUGAAGCCCAGAUAUUUAAACCACUUUUUUCCCUUUCACCAAGAGAAAUAGAAAAAGGGGGAAAUGGUGUCCACUUCUGAACAGAUCUUUACCACAUAUCUUAAGUGUUUGAAACUGAUGAUUUCCAAUACAAGAUCAAAAAGCCUUUGGCGUGAUGAAAAAGAAGACUUUAGCCACAGCUUUCUGUACUUUUUCUUCUUCUUUCCUAGACCUAUUUUAUUGAAGCUGAAACCACAGUGGCUUAAAAGCAGUGUCUACUAAUCUAACCACUUUGUCUGGCAGACAAAGAGUUUACAGCUCUUUAUUUGUAGAGUUUAUAUUUGGAGUUUAUAAACAUAUAUAUGUUUAGAGAACCCUAUUUGCACCUUAAAUAUCAGAAUUACUUUUCACUAAAGUAGCAGAGUACACAGCCAAAAGACAGGCACAGGCAAGCUGAGUGAAAGGCAGACAUGCAGUGUGUUGCCAUGAGUGCUUCCUCACUGCACCUACCCAGCUGGGGCAUAGAAUGCACAAUGAGCCUUCUCAAAUGUGAAAUGAUAAAGAUGUUAAUUCCCCUAAUUUCUCUGAAGAAAUUUUGGAGAAAUCACCUCCUUUCAGAGCUAGAAAUGGCCAUGUCACUUUCUGAAACAAUUAGACUUGCUGCUGAGUGUGUAAAAUAUUGAUAGAACUCCUUUAGCUAUUUUUCUCCUUACUGAGUUAAUUAUAAUUUUAAUUCCACGUCAGGUGUCACAAAAAUAAGGCAUCAGUAAAGUCACUAGGGAAAUAAUGAAUACACGGGCUUAAUUCAGGCAAAUUUCCUUCUCCCUAAAGUAUGAAAGUACAAAACUUUAAGAAGCCACAAACUAAACCAGAUGCAAUUGAAGAUAAGAUUGAAAAACAAAAACAUCUUUCCUUUUCUCUUUUAGAUAUCCUGUCCCUAUUUCAUUAAAAUAUGCAUCUGUAUCUUACAAGACUUCAAUUAAAGAUAAUAUUUUUUACAUAUAUUUUUUGUAAUUCUGUCAGUAAGAGUGGGUUUCAGGUAUCACCCUUUUUCCUAGGUGAAAUGGCUUUUCCAGCAGUUAAGAACCAGUUUCUACACAAGAGAAGCAUUUUUUGCCUCCCACCAUCUGUUGAAAAUGUUUAUUAAAAGCUUGUACUAGAGAACCUGGGUUUGAUUUCCCUUUAGCAGGGCCUUAAUGAAUGUUUAGAGAGUUCUUUUGCCCUCAGGCUUUGUCAAGUGUACACGUAUUAACACAAAUAAGCGCAUCUUGGCACUCUGCUGCAGUCCUGUACACAAACUAAAAUAUCCUCUGCUAAGUUUUAAAGCUUCACUGAUGUGUUGGGACCAAAAUGUAGCAGAAUUUGUCAU
This is a long non-coding RNA of Passer domesticus (house sparrow), 1690 nucleotides long. RefSeq lists it as uncharacterized. The transcript is spliced from 5 exons. NCBI's taxonomy places the organism in Eukaryota, Metazoa, Chordata, Aves, Passeriformes, Passeridae. The record is from RefSeq and is a predicted model, not a curated record.